AUUGAACGCUGGCGGAAUGCUUUACACAUGCAAGUCGAACGGCAGCACGGGGGCAACCCUGGUGGCGAGUGGCGAACGGGUGAGUAAUACAUCGGAACGUGCCCAGUCGUGGGGGAUAACGUAGCGAAAGCUACGCUAAUACCGCAUACGAUCUACGGAUGAAAGCGGGGGAUCGCAAGACCUCGCGCGAUUGGAGCGGCCGCUGGCAGAUUAGGUAGUUGGUGGGGUAAAGGCUCACCAAGCCUUCGAUCUGUAGCUGGUCUGAGAGGACGACCAGCCACACUGGGACUGAGACACGGCCCAGACUCCUACGGGAGGCAGCAGUGGGGAAUUUUGGACAAUGGGCGAAAGCCGGAUCCAGCCAUUCCGCGUGCAGGAUGAAGGCCCUCGGGUUGUAAACUGCUUUUGUACGGAACGAAACGGCCUUUUCUAAUACAGAGGGCUAAUGACGGUACCGUAAGAAUAAGCACCGGCUAACUACGUGCCAGCAGCCGCGGUAAAGUCGAUA
This 508-nucleotide ribosomal RNA is filed under the name uncultured bacterium. RNAcentral describes it as "bacterial SSU rRNA". It matches the Rfam family "Bacterial small subunit ribosomal RNA", at positions 30 to 529 of the family's 1533-position model. The record is from RNAcentral.